GAUGAACGCUAGCGAUAGGCCUAACACAUGCAAGUCGAGGGGCAGCACAUGAAGUAGCAAUACGGAUGGUGGCGACCGGCGCACGGGUGGGUAACGCGUAUGCAACCUGCCUACAACAGGGGAAUAACCCGUUGAAAGACGGACUAAUACCCCAUAACACAGGGAUCCCGCAUGGGAAUAUUUGUUAAAGAUUUAUCGGUUGUAGAUGGGCAUGCGUUCCAUUAGCUUGUUGGUGAGGUAACGGCUCACCAAGGCAACGAUGGAUAGGGGAACUGAGAGGUUUAUCCCCCACACUGGUACUGAGACACGGACCAGACUCCUACGGGAGGCAGCAGUGAGGAAUAUUGGUCAAUGGACGCAAGUCUGAACCAGCCACGUCGCGUGAAGGAAGACGGCCCUACGGGUUGUAAACUUCUUUUGUAAGGGAAUAAAGUGUAGUACGUGUACUAUUUUGCAUGUACCUUACGAAUAAGGAUCGGCUAACUCCGUGCCAGCAGCCGCGGUAAUACGGAGGAUCCGAGCGUUAUCCGGAUUUAUUGGGUUUAAAGGGUGCGCAGGCGGGAGAUUAAGUCGGCGGUGAAAUUUUGCAGCUCAACUGUAAAAGUGCCUUCGAAACUGGUUUCCUUGAGUGUGGAUGAAGUAGGCGGAAUUUGUGGUGUAGCGGUGAAAUGCAUAGAUAUCACGAGGAACUCCGAUUGCGCAGGCAGCUUACUAAACCAUAACUGACGCUCAGGCACGAAGGCGUGGGGAUCAAACA
RNAcentral lists this ribosomal RNA (757 nucleotides) under bacterium enrichment culture clone SB4-73. RNAcentral describes it as "bacterial SSU rRNA". It matches the Rfam family "Bacterial small subunit ribosomal RNA", at positions 28 to 774 of the family's 1533-position model. The record is from RNAcentral.